Molecule: transfer RNA, 73 nt
Filed under: Clostridia bacterium
Lineage: Bacteria; Bacillati; Bacillota; Clostridia
Description: tRNA-Ala
Rfam family: tRNA
About the family: Transfer RNA (tRNA) molecules are approximately 80 nucleotides in length. Their secondary structure includes four short double-helical elements and three loops (D, anti-codon, and T loops). Further hydrogen bonds mediate the characteristic L-shaped molecular structure. tRNAs have two regions of fundamental functional importance: the anti-codon, which is responsible for specific mRNA codon recognition, and the 3' end, to which the tRNAs corresponding amino acid is attached (by aminoacyl-tRNA synthetases). tRNAs cope with the degeneracy of the genetic code in two manners: having more than one tRNA (with a specific anti-codon) for a particular amino acid; and 'wobble' base-pairing, i.e. permitting non-standard base-pairing at the 3rd anti-codon position.
Source: RNAcentral
GGGGCAUUAGCGCAGCUGGUAGCGCACAACACUGGCAGUGUUGGGGUCAGCGGUUCGAGUCCGCUAUGCUCCA